AUAGCUGCCCCAUAGCUGCCCCAUAGCUGCCCCAUAGCUGCCCCAUAGCUGCCCCAUAGCUGCCCCAUAGAGACCCCAUAGAGACCCCAUAGCUGCCCCAUAGCUGCCCCAUAGCUGCCCCAUAGAGACCCCACAGCUGCCCCAUAGGGACACCAUAGCUGCCCCAUUGCUGCCCCAUAGCUGCCCCAUAGAGACCCCAUAACUGCCCCAUAGCUGCCCCAUAGAGACCCCAUAGAAACCCCAUAGCUGCCCCAUAGAGACCCCAUAGCUGCCCCAUAGAGACUUCCCCCAUAGUCUCCAUUAGGGUCCCCAUUAGGGUCUCCAAUUGGGUUCCCAUUAGGGUCCCCAUUAGGGUUCCCAUUAGGGUCCCCAUUGGAAUGCUCACUGGGGUCUCCAUUGGGUUCUCCAUUGGGGUCUUUAUUGGGGUCUCAUUGGGGUCCCAUUUGGGGGGUCUCUAUUGGGGUCUCAUUGAGGUCCCAUUGGGGGGGUCUCCAUUGGGGUCUCCAUUAGGGUCUCCAUUGGGGUCUCCAUUGGAGUCCCAUUGGGGUCUCCAUUAGGGUCUCCAUUGGGGUCUCAUUGGGGUCUCCAUUAGGGUCUCCAUUGGAGUCCCAUUGGGGUCUCCAUUAGGGUCUCAUUGGGGUCUCUAUUGGGGUCCCAUUGGGGUCCCAUUGGGGUCCCAUUGGGGUCUCAUUGGGGUCUCCAUUGGGGUCUCAUUGAGGUCUCUAUUGGGGUCUCCAUUAGGGUCUCUAUUGGGGUCUCCAUUAGGGUCUCCAUUAGGGUCUCUAUUGGGGUCCCAUUGGGGUCUCCAUUGGGGUCUCUAUUGGGGUCUCCAUUGGGGUCUCAUUGAGGUCACUAUUAGGAUCUCCAUUAGGGUCUCUAUUGGGGUCUCAUUGGGGUCCCAUUGGGGUCUCCAUUAGGGUCUCUAUUGGGGUCUCUAUUGGGGUCUCCAUUGGGGUCCCAUUGGGGUCCCAUUUGGGGGGUCUCAUUGGGGUCUCAUUGGGGGGGUCUCCAUUGGGGUCUCCAUUGGGGUCCCAUUUGGGGGGUCUCUAUUGGGGUCUCAUUGGGGUCCCAUUGGGGGGGUCUCCAUUAGGGUCUCCAUUGGGGUCUCAUUGGGGUCUCCAUUGGGGUCCCAUUGAGGUCACUAUUAGGGUCUCUAUUGGGGUCCCAUUGGGGUC
Molecule: long non-coding RNA, 1175 nt
Filed under: Coturnix japonica (Japanese quail)
Lineage: Eukaryota; Metazoa; Chordata; Aves; Galliformes; Phasianidae
Description: lncRNA (ENSCJPG00005001734.1)
Source: RNAcentral